RNAcentral lists this ribosomal RNA (465 nucleotides) under Vreelandella stevensii. RNAcentral's name for it is "partial 16S ribosomal RNA". It matches the Rfam family "Bacterial small subunit ribosomal RNA", at positions 338 to 795 of the family's 1533-position model. The record is from RNAcentral. Lineage: Bacteria; Pseudomonadati; Pseudomonadota; Gammaproteobacteria; Oceanospirillales; Halomonadaceae.
CCUACGGGAGGCUGCAGUGGGGAAUAUUGGACAAUGGGGGGAACCCUGAUCCAGCCAUGCCGCGUGUGUGAAGAAGGCCCUCGGGUUGUAAAGCACUUUCAGUGAGGAAGAACGCCUGGUGGUUAAUACCCAUCAGGAAAGACAUCACUCACAGAAGAAGCACCGGCUAACUCCGUGCCAGCAGCCGCGGUAAUACGGAGGGUGCGAGCGUUAAUCGGAAUUACUGGGCGUAAAGCGCGCGUAGGUGGCUUGAUAAGCCGGUUGUGAAAGCCCCGGGCUCAACCUGGGAACGGCAUCCGGAACUGUCAAGCUAGAGUGCAGGAGAGGAAGGUAGAAUUCCCGGUGUAGCGGUGAAAUGCGUAGAGAUCGGGAGGAAUACCAGUGGCGAAGGCGGCCUUCUGGACUGACACUGACGCUGAGGUGCGAAAGCGUGGGUAGCAAACAGGAUUAGAUACCCCUGUAGUC